Molecule: long non-coding RNA, 398 nt
Organism: Chenopodium quinoa (quinoa)
Lineage: Eukaryota; Viridiplantae; Streptophyta; Magnoliopsida; Caryophyllales; Amaranthaceae
Exons: 2
Source: RefSeq, a predicted model, not a curated record
UCAUAUGCUGACUUGCACUAUGGGGCUAUUAGUGGAGGAAUUGUGAGCAACACUUUGUGACCACCUGUUCCUGUGAAUUGUGACCCAGAGUGGAGAGAUGCUGGGCUGCAGACCCACUACAGAGGCCGAACUUCACAGAAAUCGCCAACGAGUUGCGCGUUAUGGCUGCCAAAAUUUCAGCUAAGGGGCAAACACCAGUUACAACUACAAGAACAAACACCUAGUUGGUUUUAAUUUUCUUGGCUCUCAUUCAAUUAAUGUCUAGUUGGAGUAUGUAUAUGGCCUAUGCUAAUUUGGCAUCAUAGUCUUAUGGAUAUCAUAUGGAUAGUUGCUCAUUUGUCAAAUGAGCAAACAAUUCUUUGUUCAUUUUAUCAAAUGAGUAAAUAAUUCUUUGUUCA